This 76-nucleotide transfer RNA is filed under the name Actinomycetota bacterium. RNAcentral describes it as "tRNA-Arg". It matches the Rfam family "tRNA". From Rfam's summary of the family: Transfer RNA (tRNA) molecules are approximately 80 nucleotides in length. Their secondary structure includes four short double-helical elements and three loops (D, anti-codon, and T loops). Lineage: Bacteria; Bacillati; Actinomycetota. RNAcentral also lists the same sequence under 1 other name. The record is from RNAcentral.
GCCCUCGUAGCUCAGGGGAUAGAGCACCGCUCUCCUAAAGCGGGUGUCACAGGUUCGAAUCCUGUCGAGGGCACCA